GCCCGGUUAGCUCAAUCGGUAGAGCGUGUGGCUUUUAUAAAAUGCACACCUCAAGGUUGCGAGUUCGAGCCUCGCAUCGGGCG
Aspergillus sclerotioniger CBS 115572 is the source of this 83-nucleotide non-coding RNA. The record is from the annotation of a RefSeq genome assembly. NCBI's taxonomy places the organism in Eukaryota, Fungi, Ascomycota, Eurotiomycetes, Eurotiales, Aspergillaceae.